UACGAAGGGGGCUAGCGUUGCUCGGAAUCACUGGGCGUAAAGGGUGCGUAGGCGGGUCUUUAAGUCAGGGGUGAAAUCCUGGAGCUCAACUCCAGAGCUGCCUUCGAUACUGGCGAUCUUGAGUCCGGAAGAGGUGAGUGGAAUUCCUAGUGUAGAGGUGGAAUUCGUAGAUAUUAGGAAGAACACCAGUGGCGAAGGCGGCUCACUGGUCCGGUACUGACGCUGAGGUGCGAAAGCGUGGGGAGCAAACAGG
This 253-nucleotide ribosomal RNA is filed under the name uncultured bacterium. RNAcentral describes it as "partial 16S ribosomal RNA". It matches the Rfam family "Bacterial small subunit ribosomal RNA", at positions 524 to 776 of the family's 1533-position model. The record is from RNAcentral.